GUGCUCGCUUUUGCAGCACAUAUACUAAAAUUGCAACGAUAAAGAGAAGAUUAGCAUGACCCCUGUGCAAGCCAUGUAAAUUAAUGAAGCAUUCCAUAGUUUU
Peromyscus californicus insignis is the source of this 103-nucleotide small nuclear RNA. Lineage: Eukaryota; Metazoa; Chordata; Mammalia; Rodentia; Cricetidae. The record is from RefSeq and is a predicted model, not a curated record.